Molecule: ribosomal RNA, 358 nt
Filed under: uncultured Vibrio sp.
Lineage: Bacteria; Pseudomonadati; Pseudomonadota; Gammaproteobacteria; Vibrionales; Vibrionaceae
Description: bacterial SSU rRNA
Rfam family: Bacterial small subunit ribosomal RNA
Source: RNAcentral
CGCGCGCGUGGGGCGGAAACGACACUAACAAUCCUUCGGGUGCGUUAAUGGGCGUCGAGCGGCGGACGGGUGAGUAAUGCCUAGGAAAUUGCCUUGAUGUGGGGGAUAACCAUUGGAAACGAUGGCUAAUACCGCAUAAUGCCUACGGGCCAAAGAGGGGGAUCUUCGGACCUCUCGCGUCAAGAUAUGCCUAGGUGGGAUUAGCUAGUUGGUGAGGUAAUGGCUCACCAAGGCGACGAUCCCUAGCUGGUCUGAGAGGAUGAUCAGCCACACUGGAACUGAGACACGGUCCAGACUCCUACGGGAGGCAGCAGUGGGGAAUAUUGCACAAUGGGCGAAAGCCUGAUGCAGCCAUGCC